This is a long non-coding RNA of Dermochelys coriacea (leatherback sea turtle), 1378 nucleotides long. RefSeq lists it as uncharacterized. NCBI's taxonomy places the organism in Eukaryota, Metazoa, Chordata, Testudines, Dermochelyidae. The transcript has 3 exons. The record is from RefSeq and is a predicted model, not a curated record.
GGAAUAACAAUGUACUUCUCAUACUGAAUGCAACACAGGCUGAUAGUGGCUGUUACUCCUGCAAAGUUACCAAUGAAGUUAGUGAGAAUGAAACUUCCCUGGAAUUGACCAUCAGUGAUUCUUCAGCUGUGGUUUCAAACGGAGUAAUUUUGGGAGUUGCUGUCAUAACUUCUGUUGUAAGUCUAGUAAUAGCAGAUGGGGACUUAUACAAUGAAUAAAAACUCUGCCGUGCCUUCAUCUGGAUGAAGAAACAAUCCCAAUUUUAAAAAGAGACAUAAUGGAACAGAAAGUGAAUUAUAGAGUUUGCGUCUGUCCAGCAACAACCACUUCAUCAGGCUUAAGACAGUCAUCAGACCUCUUACAAAUCAUAAAUUACAAAUCAGUGUUCUAUGUCAGAAAAUGCAUCUGAAACUGUCCAUCUUGUGGUUUUUGGUUCUUUGACACAAAGUUGCCAAUUGCCCAUCCAUGAACAAUACCAGCACUCAGAACUAUUUUUAGAAAAUGCCUGCCCAGGAAAGGGGAGAGAGAGAGUUGCAAUUGCACAAUGACAUCUGAAAAUGAUAACUUAGCAUUUCGAGUUAUGUAGAAAUAGAUUGAGUCUACUUUUAAACAAACAAGCAACAAAAUGCACAAAACAAUAGACCUAUAAGGGAGUGUUUAAAGGACAGGUUGUUUCCUAUACAGCAAGGGUGUCAAACUCAUAUUGGGGAGAGAACUAAAGUCUAUUUUUAGUUUUGGUCUAUGAAGCAGGGUAUAAAUACAGAUCUCUAUGCAGUACGUCUCUGGAUCCAUAGUAGGAACUUCCCUUAUGUUAAUAGUAAGUCUGCCUAAAGGUCAAAGAUAAAUAUGGCUCUUAGUAAAUGUCAGUGUCUUAUUGUUGAAUUCACUCCGUAGAAAAAUAUGCUAACUUUUCAGACCAUGGCUAUUUUUGCUUUUGUUCCUCCUCCUUCUCUGUCCUUCUUUCCCUGUCUUUAUGGCUUGUUUACAUGGAAAAAUUGACCAGAAUAAUUACUGUAGCAUAAACUUUUCUGCAAUAGCUCCUCAUGUGGACACUACUCUGGAAUUCAUUAUGGAAUAAUUAGUGCGAUUUGAGCAUGUAAAUCAUGUUAUUCCAGAAUAAUUAUAUCCCAGAAUAGUGUCUACCUCAGGAGCUAUUCUGGUCUGUUUCCCUAAGCCUCUCCUUUCCUUCCUGCAGCAUCUCCCAAUUUCCCUCUUGUGGGCUUGACUCCCAAUUCUUUCACCAUCCAAUCUGUUAAACUGAGCAGUGAUGAAAUAGUUGUCAAUGAAAUGCUAUAACACUGACAGAAGCAGUGUGUAUGCCCACUGUAACGCAAGCAUAUCUCUCUCACCAACAGAAGUUGGUCUAAUAAAAGAUAUU